Molecule: non-coding RNA, 426 nt
Organism: Fundulus heteroclitus (mummichog)
Lineage: Eukaryota; Metazoa; Chordata; Actinopteri; Cyprinodontiformes; Fundulidae
Source: the annotation of a RefSeq genome assembly
AUGAAGGGUUACAGGACAGGGCUGCUGCUUCUAGCUAUCUGCUGGGCAGGUGUUGAUGGUCAGUCUCUGACUCAGUCAGAACCGGUGGUUAAAAGACCAGGAGAAUCCCACAAACUGACCUGUACAACCUCUGGACUCUCAUUCAGCAGCAGGUGGAUGGCCUGGAUCAGACAGGCUCCUGGAAAAGGACUGGAGUGGAUCGCUACAAACACUAAUGGUGGUAGCAAGUUCUACUCCCAGUCAGUCCAGGGCAGGUUUGUUGUCUCCAGAGACAACGGCAGAGAGCAGCUGUUUCUGCAGAUGAACAGCCUGAAGAUGGAAGAUUCUGCAGUUUAUUAUUGUGCUCGAGACUCACAACAUUACUGUUCAUACGACUUUUUCAUAAUUAUGCACGUUUUUAAAGCUUUAGUAACUGAGGUAUACUGA